UAUUCUAAACUACGUGACGCAAUGUCAUAAUCUAUAUAAAUAUAUAAAAUUAAUGGCUAUCUUUAUGUCCUUUAUUGACUCGAAAACUAUUGGACCGAUUUUAACGGAGUUUUUGCACAAUGUUCUGCAUGAUUCGGAGGUUUAAAGCUAUUGAAAUUUCUGAAAUUCAACCCCUAAAAAAUAACUGACACAGGGAUUUUAGUAUUUUGUGCUAUAAUUUUUGUUGAUUAGGUUACCUUGAUGACAAAGGAAAUAUUAUUAAUAUUUUUGUUAAUUAUGUGGUAUCUACGG
Non-coding RNA from Cinara cedri, 291 nucleotides. The record is from the annotation of a GenBank genome assembly. NCBI's taxonomy places the organism in Eukaryota, Metazoa, Arthropoda, Insecta, Hemiptera, Aphididae.